RNAcentral lists this ribosomal RNA (382 nucleotides) under uncultured eukaryote. RNAcentral's name for it is "partial 18S ribosomal RNA". It matches the Rfam family "Eukaryotic small subunit ribosomal RNA", at positions 592 to 976 of the family's 1831-position model. The record is from RNAcentral.
UGUAAGCGUAUACCAAAGUUGUUGCAGUUAAAACGCUCGUAGUCGGAAUUUGGCAGUUCCGGAUGUGUGCACGUCGUGUGCGCACUUCGCGGGGAUUGCUUUUGUGGUCUUGCGUAGGAUGAGGCACUUUUAUUAGUGAACGUCCUCACGCAACCACUUUUUACUGUGAGAAAAUCAGAGUGCUCAAAGCAGGCAUUUGCCGUGAAUGUAUUGGCAUGGAAUAAUAGAAUAGGACUUGGUUCUAUUUUGUUGGUUUGUUGGGACUGAGUAAUGAUUAAGAGGGACAGUUGGGGGCAUUUGUAUUUCGGUGCUAGAGGUGAAAUUCUUAGAUUACCGAAAGACAAACUGCUGCGAAAGCGUCUGCCAAGGAUGUUUUCAUUGA